GUUUCUUUUCAUUGACACAUAUGGGAGAAAUGAAUUCCAAGGCUUUCCUCAUUCUAUUUAUGUUCUUGGCUUCUAGUCUUCUGAUCUCAGCUAGGAUUGCACCAGAAGACAUAAAGGACAGGUUUAAAAACAAUGUGAAUGCACUGAUGGAUGAAAGCAAAUUUUAUGGACACGACGACGAUCCUAAUGUCGACUAUGGCCCAAGGUGUUCAGAUUAUGAAUGUUGUUAUGGUUGCUGUGCGUUGGGCGCUCGAGGCUGUAGAAGGUGCUGCAGUAGUUAGGGUGUUAAAUUUGAAAUCCCAAACACCAAAUUUGGCCCCCCAUUUUAAUGUAGUAAUUUUCUUAAAAACCCGGAUGAUAUCUUCAAUAUACCGAUUAUAAAACUCGGAAUGUAUUUUAUUUUAGUAUCUAAGAUUUAAAACUCGGAAUAUACCGAUUUUAAAUCAGGUUUGUGUAAUUUGUUGAUGCUUUAAAAUUUUGAAAUUGUUAACCAACGCUGGUUGGGGAAUAAAA
Lotus japonicus is the source of this 513-nucleotide long non-coding RNA. RefSeq lists it as uncharacterized. The transcript has 2 exons. NCBI's taxonomy places the organism in Eukaryota, Viridiplantae, Streptophyta, Magnoliopsida, Fabales, Fabaceae. The record is from RefSeq and is a predicted model, not a curated record.